Molecule: long non-coding RNA, 213 nt
Filed under: Elaeis guineensis (African oil palm)
Lineage: Eukaryota; Viridiplantae; Streptophyta; Magnoliopsida; Arecales; Arecaceae
Description: long non-coding RNA (EGUI_LNC045088)
Source: RNAcentral
GGCGGCUGAGCCUCCGCCACACUCCCAAGUUUUGCCGACAGGCAGGACCCCACCAGCGUCGACCAGAUUCUUCGCGGCAUCCAGACUCCUACGGGAGCCGAACUUCGCCCCUGACUUUCAUUGCAGGUGGACUUCAUCCGGACUCCUACGGGAGCCGGACUUCGCCCAAACUCCUACGGAAGCCAGACCUCGUCUCCGACUCCAGCUACGGGA